UUCCCGUUCGAUCACCGAAGUUAAGCAACGUCGAGCUUGGUCAGUACCUAGAUAGAUGACCGUUUGUGAAUACCAGGUGCUGUAA
Molecule: non-coding RNA, 85 nt
Organism: Acanthosepion pharaonis
Lineage: Eukaryota; Metazoa; Mollusca; Cephalopoda; Sepiida; Sepiidae
Source: the annotation of a GenBank genome assembly